This 82-nucleotide ribosomal RNA is filed under the name Bacillus sp. GZT. Its description in RNAcentral is "partial 16S ribosomal RNA". It matches the Rfam family "Bacterial small subunit ribosomal RNA", at positions 1 to 83 of the family's 1533-position model. Lineage: Bacteria; Bacillati; Bacillota; Bacilli; Caryophanales; Bacillaceae. The record is from RNAcentral.
CUUUAUUGGAGAGUUUGAUCCUGGCUCAGGAUGAACGCUGGCGGCGUGCCUAAUACAUGCAAGUCGAGCGAAUGGAUUAAGA